GACGAACGCUGGCGGCGUGCUUAACACAUGCAAGUCGAACGGAAAGGCCCUGCUUGCAGGGUACUCGAGUGGCGAACGGGUGAGUAACACGUGGGUGAUCUGCCCUGCACUUCGGGAUAAGCCUGGGAAACUGGGUCUAAUACCGGAUAGGAGCCAUUUUUAGUGUGAUGGUUGGAAAGUUUUUUCGGUGUAGGAUGAGCUCGCGGCCUAUCAGCUUGUUGGUGGGGUAAUGGCCCACCAAGGCGGCGACGGGUAGCCGGCCUGAGAGGGUGGACGGCCACAUUGGGACUGAGAUACGGCCCAGACUCCUACGGGAGGCAGCAGUGGGGAAUAUUGCACAAUGGGCGCAAGCCUGAUGCAGCGACGCCGCGGGGGGGAUGACGGCCUUCGGGUUGUAAACUCAUUUCGCUAGGGACGAAGCUGUUUGUGACGGUACCUAGAUAAGAAGCACCGGCUAACUACGUG
RNAcentral lists this ribosomal RNA (465 nucleotides) under uncultured bacterium. RNAcentral describes it as "partial 16S ribosomal RNA". It matches the Rfam family "Bacterial small subunit ribosomal RNA", at positions 28 to 507 of the family's 1533-position model. The record is from RNAcentral.